GUGCUGGCUUUGGCAGCACCUAUAUAAAAAAUUGGGAUAAUACACAAAUUGGCGUGGCCCUGAACAAAGGUGACAUGCAAAUUCAUAAGGUGUUACAUAGUUUU
RNAcentral lists this small nuclear RNA (104 nucleotides) under Castor canadensis (American beaver). Lineage: Eukaryota; Metazoa; Chordata; Mammalia; Rodentia; Castoridae. The record is from RNAcentral.